This 404-nucleotide ribosomal RNA is filed under the name Actinomycetes bacterium. RNAcentral's name for it is "Actinobacteria bacterium partial 16S ribosomal RNA". It matches the Rfam family "Bacterial small subunit ribosomal RNA", at positions 355 to 776 of the family's 1533-position model. The record is from RNAcentral. Lineage: Bacteria; Bacillati; Actinomycetota; Actinomycetes.
UGGGGAAUAUUGGACAAUGGGCGCAAGCCUGAUCCAGCCAUGCCGCGUGAGUGAUGAAGGCCCUAGGGUUGUAAAGCUCUUUCACCGGUGAAGAUAAUGACGGUAACCGGAGAAGAAGCCCCGGCUAACUUCGUGCCAGCAGCCGCGGUAAUACGAAGGGGGCUAGCGUUGUUCGGAUUUACUGGGCGUAAAGCGCACGUAGGCGGACUAUUAAGUCAGGGGUGAAAUCCCGGGGCUCAACCCCGGAACUGCCUUUGAUACUGGUAGUCUUGAGUUCGAGAGAGGUGAGUGGAAUUCCGAGUGUAGAGGUGAAAUUCGUAGAUAUUCGGAGGAACACCAGUGGCGAAAGCGGCUCACUGGCUCGAUACUGACGCUGAGGUGCGAAAGCGUGGGGAGCAAACAGG